RNAcentral lists this ribosomal RNA (468 nucleotides) under uncultured bacterium. RNAcentral describes it as "partial 16S ribosomal RNA". It matches the Rfam family "Bacterial small subunit ribosomal RNA", at positions 28 to 507 of the family's 1533-position model. The record is from RNAcentral.
GACGAACGCUGGCGGCGUGCUUAACACAUGCAAGUCGAACGGAAAGGCCUUGCUUUUGUGGUGUGCUCGAGUGGCGAACGGGUGUGUAACACGUGAGUAACCUGCCUUUGACUUUGGGAUCACUUCAGGAAACUGGGUCUUAUACCGGAUAGGAUCUUCUGCUGCAUGGUGGGUGUUGGAAAGUUUCGGCGGUUGGGGAUGGACUCGCGGUUUAUCAGCUUGUUGGUGGGGUAGUGGCUUACCAAGGCUUUGACGGGUCGCCGGCCUGAGGGGGGGACCGGCAAAAUGGGGACUGAGAUACGGCCAAGACUCCUACGGGAGGCAGCAGGGGGGAAAAUUGCACAAUGGGCGGAAGCCUGAGGAAGCAACGCGGCGGGCGGGAUAACGGCCUUCGGGUUGUAAACCGCUUUCGCCUGUGACGAAGCGUGAGUGACGGUAAUGGGUAAAGAAGCACCGGCUAACUACGUG